Molecule: ribosomal RNA, 497 nt
Filed under: uncultured bacterium
Lineage: Bacteria
Description: partial 16S ribosomal RNA
Rfam family: Bacterial small subunit ribosomal RNA
Source: RNAcentral
GACGAACGCUGGCGGCGUGCCUAAUACAUGCAAGUUGAGCGAUGAAGCUUGGUGCUUGCCCCAAUUUGAAGAGCAGCGAACGGGUGAGUAACGCGUGGGGAAUCUGCCUUUGAGCGGGGGACAACAUUUGGAAACGAAUGCUAAUACCGCAUAACAACUUUAAACAUAAGUUUUAAGUUUGAAAGAUGCAAUUGCAUCACUCAAAGAUGAUCCCGCGUUGUAUUAGCUAGUUGGUGAGGUAAAGGCUCACCAAGGCGAUGAUACAUAGCCGACCUGAGAGGGUGAUCGGCCACAUUGGGACCGAGACACGGCCCAAACUCCUACGGGAGGCAGCAGUAGGGAAUCUUCGGCAACGGACGAAAGUCUGACCGAGCAACGCCGCGUGAGUGAAGAAGGUUUUCGGAUCGUAAAACUCUGUUGGUAGAGAAGAACGUUGGUGAGAGUGGAAAGCUCAUCAAGUGACGGUAACUACCCAGAAAGGGACGGCUAACUACGUG